GCUAAAACUGUAGUUUAACCUACAUACAAAAAUCCACCAUUUACAAAACAAAACAUUUGACUCACCUAGUAGAUGCGAUCGAACAUUACCACAACACAACUAUAGUACCGCAAGGGAACCACCAAUCAAGCAAAAAAAAGCAAAGAUUAAACCUCGUACCUUUUGCAUCAUGGUUUAGCAAGGACCUCAGGACAAAACGAACAACUAAAGCCCAAACCACCCGAAACCAGAUGAGCUACUUCAAAGCAGCCUUCUAGGGCCAAUCCUUCUCUGUUGCAAAAGAGUGGAAAGACUUUGAAGUAGAGGUGAAAUGCCUACCGAAUCUGGAGAUAGCUGGCUACCCAAAAAAGAAUCUAAGUUCACCUUUAGACCACAACCAACAUUAAAUAGUCACCUAAAGACAUUCAAUAGGGGUACAGCUCUAUUGAAACAGGAUACAACCUGACUUUGAGAAUAAACAAACCUUAAACCUACUAGUAGGCCCUAAAGCAGCCACCUAAAAAAAUAUCGUUAAAGAAUUACCAAAAAAAAUUCCAAACCAAAUCAAAUAUUCCAAAGACAACUAAGGGUAAGUCUAUUACUAUAGACGAACUUAUGCUAAAACUAAUAAUAAGAAAACUUCUCUAAGCACAACCAUUCGCAAGAAACAGAAAAACUACUUGCAGUCAACAGACCAAAAAAGGAACAACAUAACACCCUUCACAACCAUUCCACAAACUGUAAACCCGACACAGGUGUGCAAUAAAGAAAGAUAAAAAAUUACAAAAGGAACUCGGCAACCAAUGACUUCAACUGUUUACCAAAAACAUAACCUUUAGCCCUAAACCAGUAUUAAAGGCAAUGCCUGCCCAGUGAGAAUUUCUUCAACGGCCGCGGUACCCUAACCGUGCAAAGGUAGCGUAAUCAUUUGUCUAUUAAUUGUAGACCAGUAUGAAAGGCCACAUGAAAGUCAAACUGUCUCUUGUAAUUAAUCAAUUAAACUGAUCUCCCAGUACAAAAGCUGGAAUAUCCAUAUAAGACCAGAAGACCCUGUGAAGCUUAAACUAACUUAUUAAACCCACUAAUAACUACUUUCAGUUGGGGCGACUUUGGAACAAAACAAAACUUCCAAAUAAUAUGAAUAAUCCCUCAUACCAUAGGCCAACAAGCCACCACAAGACCCAGUAACACUGACAAUUGAACCAAGUUACUCCAGGGAUAACAGCGCCAUCUUCUUUAAGAGCCCAUAUCAAAAAGAAGGUUUACGACCUCGAUGUUGGAUCAGGACACCCAAAUGGUGCAGCCGCUAUUAAAGGUUCGUUUGUUCAACGAUUAACAGUCCUACGUGAUCUGAGUUCAGACCGGAGCAAUCCAGGUCAGUUUCUAUCUAUAAAAUGCCCUCUCUAGUACGAAAGGACCGAGACAGCAAAGCCAAUACCAAAAGCACGCUUUAACCAAAAAAAUAAACAAAUUCAAUACCCUAAAUUACUAAAACAAGCCAAGAAAAGGCUAAUUAAGGACAACUUAACCCCUUA
RNAcentral lists this ribosomal RNA (1514 nucleotides) under Malayopython reticulatus (reticulated python). RNAcentral describes it as "16S ribosomal RNA". It matches the Rfam family "Bacterial large subunit ribosomal RNA", at positions 564 to 2854 of the family's 2925-position model. Lineage: Eukaryota; Metazoa; Chordata; Lepidosauria; Squamata; Pythonidae. The record is from RNAcentral.